Molecule: long non-coding RNA, 1129 nt
Filed under: Helianthus annuus (common sunflower)
Lineage: Eukaryota; Viridiplantae; Streptophyta; Magnoliopsida; Asterales; Asteraceae
Description: hypothetical non coding rna
Source: RNAcentral
CUCUUCUUGGGUCUGCACACUCUCUUCUCCUCCACAAAACCCUAGCUCAUCACCACCCCUUCUCCUCCACCAUAUCUCCUCCUCCUCACAGCCGCCACCCUCUCACCGGCGGCGCUCUCCCACCGACGCCACCCUCACGCCGUCGUUCUCCACCUCCCAGUCACGAUCAGAUGCUGUAAUCAAGAAGCGAGCCGAGUCACAACAGAUGCUGUAAUCAAGAAGAGGCCCACGAAACUCAACAUAAAUCAAAUCCAUUCACUCGAUCAGGUAACUCACUACCAUCAUUCACCUUCGUGUUGCCCUGAUCUGGAUCUGAUCGAGUUGCCCUAAUCUGGAUCUGAUUGAGUUCUCUCGUGGUUCCCAAACGAAAGAGGCCUCUUCUACCUUCUUCAACACUUCCACCCAAGUUAACCAUCAUCAUCAUCUUCUAUCUCAGAACUCGUCUAAGUCAAUGAGUGUGCUAGAUUGCCGUUAUCUUGAACGAACGAUCCAAGAACUCUUGAACCAUUAGGUAGUGAAACCGGUCCGGCCUGUGGAGGAGGCAAUGACGUGGCAGUAGAAGCUCCUACUUGUUGGGAGUGCGGCGGAUCUUGAUUGGAACUCGGUUGCAUUGUUGAUGGCCCGUCUAUAACACAAGAGCCUGAAAUGCUCAUAUUAUUUGACGUGAACGAUAAAGGCGAUGCAGGUAAUCGCGUAUAUGAUUCGUUGUUGGCACUUGCGCUUCUUUGGAGACGACCUCCUGAAAGCCCCGAGUUAGCAUCAGUUACCAAUGAGCUUGCUCCAGUUAUCUCCCCAGACACAGGCACCAUAUUCGAACACGUGUUUCCAGGAAUUGAAUUUCCCAAAUGUGAAUUCCCAAAAGCUUGAGACUGCAUAUCGCCUUGGAAGAAGAUGCCAGAACUUGAUGACGAAUGUACCAUCCCAACAUUCGCCUGAGAAGGCCCCAUUCACGAUAGAGCCACUUGCUGGCUCGAAUCAAGCGCCAGUGCUUUUAGUUAUCCUUUCAAUCAACACCGAUUUUUUGGCUUUAACCCGGCGCUAGAAAUUUACAUCAACAAACUAAUCGAUGUUCGUAAUUAGCAAUUCCAACCACAAAAUCAAGUCUGAGUCAAAACUGUAAGCCUGGAAU